Molecule: long non-coding RNA, 1136 nt
Filed under: Oncorhynchus mykiss (rainbow trout)
Lineage: Eukaryota; Metazoa; Chordata; Actinopteri; Salmoniformes; Salmonidae
Description: lncRNA (ENSOMYG00000065038.1)
Source: RNAcentral
GUGGACAGUAACAUUAGCACUUUCUCAAAAUUAUCCUUUAAAGAAAAAACAUGUAUAUAUGUUUUUUAUGUUUAGCUCACAUAAUAUAGUUUAAAGAAUACAUUAAGGUGUCUGUAAUACAAUAAAUGUGGCAAAAACAAAUGUAGAAUUUAAUACAUGUAUUUCUAUAGCUUCCAAAAUACUUUUACAAUGGUGAGGUGUCAAGAUGGAGGCACCGGGGCUUCAAAACAGCGCACAUUGAACUAUGAAAAACGAAGCAAAAUUGUAGUACGUUUGCUGUUUUAAUUCUAAUGAGAGAAGUGUAAGAAAGGCACAGUGCAUACCAGCUAUAACAUUUCUAAUGUGCAGUUGACAAUCCUUUUUCAGUCUUUAUCGAGUGCGUGACAAGUUUUAAAUACCGGCUAGCAGUAGUCCUACAUAAGCAACAUGAACCUUACGGUACAACAAGCAGAUCAAUGGAUUUAGACUUGUGUCCAAGUGCAGCCCCUCCCACCCCUAACCAGGGAGCUCCUGUGGGAGGGGGAAGCACAAGCACCACACUGCCUGGACCAAUCAUCAUGCAGCACCACCUCUCCAUUACAUCUUAGUUUCCAAGGCGACAGGCAGGGCCUUUCUCCUGAAAGGCACCGCAUCAUCACCAUCCAUCCACCCAGCGCUGGUCGAGAGGCAGCAGUAGCAGGCAGCAAGCAGCAGCCCCGCAGUGGGUCACAUCAGGCACCUCCCUCCCUCUCUCUCUCUCGCCUCAUGUCGCGCUGCAAAUCUGUCUCCGCCAACACUCAGGAAAAGGAAAAUGGAGUAAGAAGAGAAGAGGAAUGUGGUAGGUAGGUGCUGGAUUUUUUGUUAUGUCUGUGUUUAUCUAUUUGUGUUGCGUUAGUGCUGUGUUUUACAGGGAGGCAGAAGGGAGGGUUUGUGUGUGUCUAAUCCUCUCUAGCAGGCUGAUUUAAUGGGCUGUUUGCCGUUAGAAUGAGAGAAGGAGGCAGUGGAGAAGGGGGAGCCCCUCUGCUUUGUUAAAGGGGCCUGGCCUGCAGAGCUAGGAGGCUGCCUGCCGCAUACACAAACACCCUUGUCCCAGCCCCAGCCCCAGCCCUAGCCCUAGCCCCAGCCCCAGCCCCAGCCCUAGCCCCAGCCCUUGUUCC